This 427-nucleotide ribosomal RNA is filed under the name uncultured Aquicella sp. RNAcentral describes it as "bacterial SSU rRNA". It matches the Rfam family "Bacterial small subunit ribosomal RNA", at positions 355 to 774 of the family's 1533-position model. The record is from RNAcentral. Lineage: Bacteria; Pseudomonadati; Pseudomonadota; Gammaproteobacteria; Legionellales; Coxiellaceae.
UGGGGAAUCUUGGACAAUGGGGGCAACCCUGAUCCAGCGAUGCCGCGUGGGUGAAGAAGGCCUUCGGGUUGUAAAGCCCUUUAGGUCGGGACGAAGGUGUUUGGGGGAUAAUCCCAGGCAUUUGACGGUACCGACAGAAUAAGCACCGGCAAACUCUGUGCCAGCAGCCGCGGUAAUACAGAGGGUGCGAGCGUUAAUCGGAUUUACUGGGCGUAAAGGGCGCGUAGGCGGUUUCAUAGGUGUGAUGUGAAAGCCCUGGGCUUAACCUAGGAAGUGCAUCGCAAACUAUUGAACUGGAGUAGAUGAGAGGGUGGCGGAAUUUCCGGUGUAGCGGUGAAAUGCGUAGAGAUCGGAAGGAACGUCAAUGGCGAAGGCAGCCACCUGGCAUCAUACUGACGCUGAGGCGCGAAAGCGUGGGGAGCGAACA